RNAcentral lists this ribosomal RNA (492 nucleotides) under uncultured bacterium. RNAcentral's name for it is "partial 16S ribosomal RNA". It matches the Rfam family "Bacterial small subunit ribosomal RNA", at positions 29 to 507 of the family's 1533-position model. The record is from RNAcentral.
AGUGAACGCUGGCGGUAGGCCUAACACAUGCAAGUCGAACGGCAGCACAGUAAGAGCUUGCUCUUACGGGUGGCGAGUGGCGGACGGGUGAGGAAUACAUCGGAAUCUACUUUUUCGUGGGGGAUAACGUAGGGAAACUUACGCUAAUACCGCAUACGACCUACGGGUGAAAGCAGGGGAUCUUCGGACCUUGCGCGAUUGAAUGAGCCGAUGUCGGAUUAGCUAGUUGGCGGGGUAAAGGCCCACCAAGGCGACGAUCCGUAGCUGGUCUGAGAGGAUGAUCAGCCACACUGGAACUGAGACACGGUCCAGACUCCUACGGGAGGCAGCAGUGGGGAGUAUUGGACAAUGGGCGCAAGCCUGAUCCAGCCAUACCGCGUGGGUGAAGAAGGCCUUCGGGUUGUAAAGCCCUUUUGUUGGGAAAGAAAAGCAGCAGGUUAAUACCCCGCUGUUCCGACGGUACCCAAAGAAUAAGCACCGGCUAACUUCGUG